AGCGAACGCUGGCGGCAGGCCUAACACAUGCAAGUCGAACGAACUCUUCGGAGUUAGUGGCGGACGGGUGAGUAACACGUGGGAACGUGCCUUUAGGUUCGGAAUAACUCAGGGAAACUUGUGCUAAUACCGAAUGUGCCCUUCGGGGGAAAGAUUUAUCGCCUUCAGAGCGGCCCGCGUCUGAUUAGCUAGUUGGUGAGGUAAAGGCUCACCAAGGCGACGAUCAGUAGCUGGUCUGAGAGGAUGAUCAGCCACAUUGGGACUGAGACACGGCCCAAACUCCUACGGGAGGCAGCAGUGGGGAAUCUUGCGCAAUGGGCGAAAGCCUGACGCAGCCAUGCCGCGUGAAUGAUGAAGGUCUUAGGAUUGUAAAAUUCUUUCACCGGGGACGAUAAUGACGGUACCCGGAGAAGAAGCCCCGGCUAACUUCGUG
RNAcentral lists this ribosomal RNA (433 nucleotides) under uncultured bacterium. RNAcentral's name for it is "partial 16S ribosomal RNA". It matches the Rfam family "Bacterial small subunit ribosomal RNA", at positions 29 to 507 of the family's 1533-position model. The record is from RNAcentral.